RNAcentral lists this transfer RNA (66 nucleotides) under Psittacula cyanocephala (Plum-headed parakeet). Its description in RNAcentral is "tRNA-Ser". Lineage: Eukaryota; Metazoa; Chordata; Aves; Psittaciformes; Psittacidae. The record is from RNAcentral.
GAGGGGAGGCCCAACCAACAAGAACUGCUAACUCUUGCGCCUGAGUAUAAAACCUCAGUCCCCUUA